ACGGAGGGUGCAAGCGUUAUCCGGAUUCGCUGGGUUUAAAGGGUGCGUAGGUGGGCAGGAAAGUCAGUGGUGAAAUCUCCGGGCUUUACCCGGAAACUGCCGUUGAUACUAUUUGUCUUGAAUAUUGUGGAGGUAAGCGGAAUAUGUCAUGUAGCGGUGAAAUGCUUAGAUAUGACCUAGAACACCUAUUGCGAAGGCAGCAGGCUACACAUAAAUUGACGCUGAGGCUCGAAAGCGUGGGGAUCAAACAGGA
RNAcentral lists this ribosomal RNA (253 nucleotides) under uncultured prokaryote. Its description in RNAcentral is "partial 16S ribosomal RNA". It matches the Rfam family "Bacterial small subunit ribosomal RNA", at positions 525 to 777 of the family's 1533-position model. The record is from RNAcentral.